This 717-nucleotide ribosomal RNA is filed under the name Meloidogyne sp. DHR-2019. RNAcentral's name for it is "partial large subunit ribosomal RNA". It matches the Rfam family "Eukaryotic large subunit ribosomal RNA", at positions 363 to 944 of the family's 3401-position model. The record is from RNAcentral. Lineage: Eukaryota; Metazoa; Nematoda; Chromadorea; Rhabditida; Meloidogynidae.
GUUGCAAAGCACUUUGAAGAGAGAGUUAAAGAAGGUGCGACGGUUAGUGGAAGCGGAUAGAGUCGGCAGUAUCAUUCAAUUAUUCAGUUACAUUAUUUUUAUGUUGUGACCUCUGAGCUCCAGAUUGGGACAGAGGGAAUCAGCAUAAUUUUUUGUGGUGCAUUUACUUGAUUGGUGCUUGGGGAUGUUUGAGGCAGAUUUGUUUCCGUCGUUUUGAGGCCAGCUUGCUGGUACCCAAACGGUGUUAGCAUUUUUUGUCUUGGGCAUUUGAGUAUGGCUCACGUGUAUUUAUUGGACAGAUCUGAGUGUAAGUUACGGUCGCAUGCGACACGUGCUUUUCAAUUAGUUCGGUCCAGUUAAUGCUCUCGUACUCGUUCCCCAUGUAAAAGCCGGUCAUCUAUCCGACCCGUCUUGAAACACGGACCAAGGAGUUUAUCGUGUGCGCAAGUUUUUGGGUGUUAAAAACUUAAAAGCGAAAUGAAAGUAAAUGACUCUUUAGAGUCUGAUGUGCGAUCUUGUAAAAAAGUGUAGCAUGGCCCCAUUCUAACUGUUUACAGUAGGGUGGCGGAAGAGCGUACGCGGUGAGACCCGAAAGAUGGUGAACUAUUCCUGAGCAGGACGAAGCCAGAGGAAACUCUGGUGGAAGUCCGAAGCGGUUCUGACGUGCAAAUCGAUCGUCUGACUUGGGUAUAGGCGCGAAAGAUUAAUCGAACCAUC